GGGGGGGGGGGGGGGUGGGGCGGGGGCGGGCGGGGGGGGGGGCCGCGGGGUAAGAGGGGGCUCUGGGGGGGGGCGAGGGGCGGGCGGGGGGGGGGUACAUCGGGAUCUACUUUGUCGUGGGGGAUAACGUAGGGAAACUUACGCUAAUACCGCAUACGACCUACGGGUGAACGCCGGGGAUCUUCGGACCUUGGGCUAUUGGAUGAGACGAUGACGGGUUAGCUAGUUGGCGGGGUAAAGUCCCACCAAGGCGACGAGCCGUCGCUGGUCUGAGAGGAUGAUCAGCCACAGUGGAACUGAGACACGGUCCAGACUCCUACGGGAGGCAGCAGUGGGGAAUAUUGGACAAUGGGCGCAAGCCUGAUCCAGCCAUACCGCGUGGGUGAAGAAGGCCUUCGGGUUGUAAAGCCCUUUUGUUGGGAAAGAAAAGCAGCAGGUUAAUACCCCGCUGUUCUGACGGUACCCAAAGAAUAAGCACCGGCUAACUUCGUG
Molecule: ribosomal RNA, 492 nt
Filed under: uncultured bacterium
Lineage: Bacteria
Description: partial 16S ribosomal RNA
Rfam family: Bacterial small subunit ribosomal RNA (bases 53-492)
Source: RNAcentral